Molecule: ribosomal RNA, 503 nt
Filed under: uncultured bacterium
Lineage: Bacteria
Description: partial 16S ribosomal RNA
Rfam family: Bacterial small subunit ribosomal RNA
Source: RNAcentral
AUUGAACGCUGGCGGCAGGCUUAACACAUGCAAGUCGAGCGGGGUGAUGGUGCUUGCACUAUCACUUAGCGGCGGACGGGUGAGUAAUGCUUAGGAAUCUGCCUCUUAGUGGGGGACAACAUCCCGAAAGGGAUGCUAAUACCGCAUACGUCCUACGGGAGAAAGCAGGGGAUCACUUGUGACCUUGCGCUAAUAGAGGAGCCUAAGUCGGAUUAGCUAGUUGGCGGGGUAAAGGCCUACCAAGGCGACGAUCUGUAGCGGGUCUGAGAGGAUGAUCCGCCACACUGGGACUGAGACACGGCCCAGACUCCUACGGGAGGCAGCAGUGGGGAAUAUUGGACAAUGGGGGGAACCCUGAUCCAGCCAUGCCGCGUGUGUGAAGAAGGCCUUAUGGUUGUGAAGCACUUUAAGCGAGGAGGAGGCUCUUUUGGUUAAUACCCAAGAUGAGUGGACGUUACUCGCAGAAUAAGCACCGGCUAACUCUGUGCCAGCCGCCGCCGUAA